Molecule: ribosomal RNA, 245 nt
Filed under: uncultured bacterium
Lineage: Bacteria
Description: partial small subunit ribosomal RNA
Rfam family: Bacterial small subunit ribosomal RNA
Source: RNAcentral
AGAAUCAACGCUGGCGGCGUGCCUAACACAUGCAAGUCGCACGAGAAAGUGGAGCAAUCCAUGAGUAAAGUGGCGCACGGGUGAGUAACACGUGAAUUAUCUACCUCCGAGUGGGGAAUAACUGAGAGAAAUCUUAGCUAACACCGCAUAACACUUACGAGUCAAAGCAGCAAUGCGCUUGGAGAGGAGUUCGCGGCCGAUUAGUUAGUUGGCGGGGUAAUGGCCCACCAAGACGAUGAUCGGUA